UUGUUUGAGUGGCUUCAGGAAGGUGGCUGGGAAGAGUUUGAGUGGCUUCAGGAAGGUGACAGGGAAGAGCUUGUUUGAGUGGCUUCAGGAAGGUGGCUGGGAAGAGUUUGAGUGGCUUCAGGAAGGUGGCAGGGAAGAGUUUGUUUGGGUGGUUGGCAGGUAACAGGGAAGAGUCCAGGUAGCUGGCAGUGUAACAGGGAAGAGUUUGCAUGACUGGCAGGGUGACAAAGGAGAGUUUAAAUUUCUGGCAGGUUGACAGAGAAGAGUUUGAAUUUCUAGCAGGGUGUCAGGGAGGAGUUUAAGUGGCUGGCACGGUGACAGGGAAGAGUUUGAGUGGCUGCUAGAGUUUCAGGGAAGAGUUUGCGUGUCUGACAGAUUGAGAGAAGAGUUUGAAUUUCUGACAGGGUGACAGGGAAGUUUGAGUGGCUGGCAACGUGAGAGGGAAAAGUUUACAUUGCUGGCAGGGUGAGAGGGAGGAGUUUGAGUGGCUGACAGGGUGACAAGUAGGAAUAUGAGUGGGUGACAGGAAUGAGUUUGAGUGGCUAGCAGGGUGUAAGAAGGAAGAGUAUAUGUCAUUGUUCACUUCUAUGUGAACGUCCCAGGGAGGCAGUGGCCAUGUGGUUAGCCUGCGGGUGUGGUGAGCCUGAGAACCUAGCGUGGACUAAGUUCAAGUCUCCACUAAAACACUGAUUUUUCAAGUCAUCCCCGAGUGGCAAAAGAUUACCCACAUGCUGUCCGGAAUUUCAAUCAACCUUAAGUUAAGCAACUACAGUCAAGAGAAGAACCAGGGGACAGCAUGGGCCAAGGAAGAGUCAUACAUCACGGCAACCACUAAAAACAAAAUUAGCCUGCGCCACUAACAGGCUGGGGCUGUCCAUAAGGCCCCUCAAGAAAGCCUACCGGAGCUACAGGCAGCACAAAAAAAUGACACAAACACAAAAUAGAUGCUUGUAACAUGUAAAAUCAUGAACAAUUAGAAGCUGCAAGUAAUAUUAAUUGGAAGAAAAAACUAUAACAGAUGUUUAUAUAAGUGUAAGCAAUAAAGAUGCAAAAAUUGGUCAUAAGUGCAUAUGCACAAACAAUAUUAUUGGCUCAUCUUGUGUGAGUGCUUGCACAAACAAAUGCAGUAACAAGCAAUAAACAAUGUCUAAGUGAUAGAUUAUAAAAAAUAUUGUACUUCCUUGCAAUAUUAAACAUAAAAUGUGCAAUAGAAAUAAAAUUAUAAUAGCAAAAUAAUCAUGAAUAGCAUGGCUAAUAUUACCUUGAAAAAAUGUCAAUAUGAAAGUAUGAUACAGAUAAAUGUGUGUUGUACUUGGAAAAAUUAACAUUAUGAAAAAGUCACAGCCACAAAUUGCUCUUCACUCUAAAACUGUUAAGAUAAACACUCUGGAAUCAGGAAAUCCUAAUUUCAGCAUCAUCUGCCACAACCAUGUGAGGGUCAAAACUACAUAAUAUUUAACAGCAUUACAUGUUGUUAUUACCCCAUUCCUGCAAAAAAAAAGCCAAUGAAAGGGAGGGUCAAGCUAUUACUUUCUGAUUAUGCUGUACAGGUCUGGGUAUGCUUAAAUUGGGAUUAUAAGGGUGAUUAAAGAAUCCCCCUAAGCUAGGUACCAAAGAUCAUAUAGCUCUGCUAGGGUUACAAGAGAGUGCUGCCUCUCUUACUGAGAGGCUGCCAUUAGCUGAAAUAGAACUUGCAACCUCUCCGUUACCUGCCAAGCAAGAAACCCACUGAGCUACCUGGCCCAUUACUUUAUGUGAUGAUGCCUUGUUUGUCUUUACAUUUGGGUAUCAGGUAUUUCUAAAGAUGGUGACAGACACAUCCAAACUAGAAACAUAACAGUUUUAUUACUUAUCAGUAUGAUAAGGGGUGCAUAGGCUGAUGUACAUGUACAGCAAGUACUAUAUACAUAUUUUCAUAAAUACAUUAUCUUCAAGGUUUCAGGAAGCUUGUUAUCUCAUGAUAAAUAUCUGAGACUUCUUCCCCCAAUUCCUGUACGUACAUGCUAAAAGGAAAGACAGAAUAAUCCUAGAGACGAAAAAUAAACUGGUAUGAGUGUACGAAAAAAUGAAUCAAGUGUUGCACUACAUUCACACAUUCUGAUGCCCAGAUAUCAAACUAUAAAAAUUCUCUAACACCCCACUCAUGGGCCAAGGCUUACAGGGACUUCCCUAUUGAAACUGGGCACAGUCCUGUUUCAGAAAUGCUGCUACACAAACUAUUUUUACUCUUACUGAUGGAUUACCAGUUUUCUUGCAAUAUCCACUUACAAUGAGAAUGAAUGAUAUUAGAAAUGAAUUGCUACAAAUUCAAGGAGUCACAGACUGAUUCAAAAGUAGUAUUGAUUAUGUCCCUCAUUCUGGUUGAGACAAUACAUGUAGUUGAUCAAUGUAUUAUGAUUGCCCUCUUGAGCCACUUGUCAGCAGGAUUCUUUCAUAUUAAAUAUAGUGGUAAAUGCUACAAUGUUUUUUGCUGCUCUGAGUUAGCAAAUAAAUUCCUAAUAACAAUCAUCGUCCACUUCCUAAAACUCUCAGAUACGAGCCCUAAAGGUAAACAGAAAUAACGUUCAGAAACUAUG
Long non-coding RNA from Eriocheir sinensis (Chinese mitten crab), 2576 nucleotides. RefSeq lists it as uncharacterized. The transcript has 2 exons. The record is from RefSeq and is a predicted model, not a curated record. Lineage: Eukaryota; Metazoa; Arthropoda; Malacostraca; Decapoda; Varunidae.